RNAcentral lists this ribosomal RNA (253 nucleotides) under uncultured bacterium. RNAcentral's name for it is "partial 16S ribosomal RNA". It matches the Rfam family "Bacterial small subunit ribosomal RNA", at positions 524 to 776 of the family's 1533-position model. The record is from RNAcentral.
GACGUAGGGCGCGAGCGUUGUCCGGAUUUAUUGGGCGUAAAGAGCUCGUAGGCGGCUUGUCGCGUCGUCCGUGAAAACCUGCAGCUCAACUGCAGGCUUGCGGUCGAUACGGGCAGGCUGGAGUUCGGUAGGGGAGACUGGAAUUCCUGGUGUAGCGGUGAAAUGCGCAGAUAUCAGGAGGAACACCGGUGGAGAAGGCGGGUCUCUGGGCCGAUACUGACGCUGAGGAGCGAAAGCGUGGGGAGCGAACAGG